RNAcentral lists this ribosomal RNA (421 nucleotides) under Sancus acoreensis. Its description in RNAcentral is "partial 16S ribosomal RNA". The stretch from base 1 to 219 matches the Rfam family "Bacterial large subunit ribosomal RNA", at positions 2410 to 2643 of the family's 2925-position model. The record is from RNAcentral. Lineage: Eukaryota; Metazoa; Arthropoda; Arachnida; Araneae; Tetragnathidae.
AAAUAGANNNCCCAACANUAGUUGAUUACANUGAACAAGUUACUGUAGGGAUAACAGCGUAAUAUAUAUCUAAAGUUCUUAUUUUGAUAUAAGUUUGCGACCUCGAUGUUGAAUUNAUAUUACUUUCAAGCGCAAGAGCCUGAAAAGUGGGUCUGUUCGACCCCUAAAUAUAUACAUGAUUUGAGUUCAAAUCGGUGUAAACCAGAUUGGUUUCUAUCUAUUNUUAUUUGUGUCUUAGUACGAAAGGACCUGAAACAAUAUUAUAUAAUNAUUUAUAUGGCAGAAAAAUGCUUUAGAUUUAGGAUCUAAUUAUAAUAGAUUAUUAUACUCUAUUUAACUUGCCUAAUCUCUGUUAUUAGAAUCCUUAUCGCAGUAGCUUUUUAUACCCUCCUAGAGCGAAAAAUUCUAAGCUACAUCCAAA